UGUACAUUUCCAACAAACCAUCUUCUUCCCCACUCGCCCCAUCCAACCCGAGUGGCGCGCCUCCCCCGAGCGGCCCGCCUCCCACGACCAUCCGAGCACUCGACUUCCGCCCUCGCUCGUCGCCGGCGAUGGCAUCGUGUAGCUGUGGCACGGCUGCGCCAGGAGAUCUCCGUAGAAGGGUUAGCGCGCACGGGCGUGAUCCCCAAUAGCCAAGAACCAUGCUGCGGAGCAGUUCUUCCUGCCGCUCGUUGGCAGGGAUGCUAGAUACGGGGCGAGUAGAUACGGGGCGCCCUCGCGCAUGCCUCGAUGCUAGACCCGUCCAACACAUGCAUCCUCAAUUUCUAAUCGAUCCCAAGUCCUUCCCUCCUUUGAUUUGUGCAGUUUUCUCCAGGAAAAAGUAAUACCGAUUUGCCUCUACUAUUCUGUUUGGUCUUUUUGGUAGUUGAUUUAUAUGGAAGUCUUUCCUAAUUUACCGAAAUUAGCGCCUUCACUGAACCACCCCGCGUGAGAUGUGGACGUUCCAGGUGUUCUGAGGGAUUUGUAGAGGUGUUCCAGGCCCUUGGAGGUGCGCGGGAGACGGAGGCCAGCUCAGACCGAAGCUCGUCGCGCAGCAGCACCUCAACCGGCCCUUCGAGGUUUCACCUUGCUGCCGCUGCCAUCCAUCCAUCCAUUAACCGCACAAGCUAGACUGAAACUCGAGGAAGAAAAAUUCCGGCGGGGAACAUCUCGCGGCUCGAAGAGCUUUUGUGACUCUGCUGUCCGUAUAUCUUGUUUGACUGGAAUGGAGACAGAGGCGGCGAAUAUUCGAUCGAGCGGACGUUAUGGCGCCCGGACUCAAUCCCGCCCGGCCGAUACAGGAGGAGAUUCGCGCGCAGCGUUUUUGCCAAAAGACCCAUCUACCUUUUUUAAUUCGGAAGUAAUCCUAGGGAGAUGCCUGUAUAAAAGGCCCAAAUCGGGAUGAACCCUAAAAAUCUUCCUCCAAAUCUCCCCAGCCGCCGCUUUCUUGCUCCCCUCCGCCGCCGGCCGGACUGCUGCCCAUCCUCCUCGUGGCCGGCAAGGUCGCCGCCGCCGGCGACGGGGCUGAUUCUUCGUCGCCGCCGCCGGCGACGGGGCUGAUUCUUCGUCGCCGCCGCUCGGCGCCGGGCCGGCACGGCACCGCACGCCGCACGCCGUCGGCCGCCGUUGUUGCUGCUGCGGUUGCCGCCGUUGACGAGUCGCCUCCGCCGCCCCCGAGGGACAGGCCGAGCGUCUGGCCGGCGUCUUGGACCUCCUCCUGCGCCCCGAGAUCCGUUUUUACAUUUUCUUUCUCUUGUUAGGAUCUUGUUAGGAUCCGUUGAAUUGAUUGGAUCUAGUGGUUGUUAGGAUCUUGCUUUAACAAAUGGAUCCAACACUUGUUUGUCAUGGAUCCACCACUUGGUUUGUCAUGGAUAUUUCUUUCAUGGAUCUAGAUAUUCAUGCUAAAUCUGGUUUCUUAUGAAGAUCCAUGUACUCCGUAGAACUUUAUAGAGAUCUGUGGUCGAAAUAAAUGUAUCCAAUGGUUUCUUAUGAUUUUUCAUGAA
Molecule: long non-coding RNA, 1559 nt
Organism: Lolium perenne
Lineage: Eukaryota; Viridiplantae; Streptophyta; Magnoliopsida; Poales; Poaceae
Source: RefSeq, a predicted model, not a curated record